UUUUUUUUUUUCUUUUUUUUUUUUUUUUUU
RNAcentral lists this non-coding RNA (30 nucleotides) under Alexandrium minutum. Lineage: Eukaryota; Dinophyceae; Gonyaulacales; Pyrocystaceae. The record is from RNAcentral.